AGCGAACGCUGGCGGCAGGCCUAACACAUGCCAGUCGAACGAACUCUUCGGAGUUAGUGGCGGACGGGUGAGUAACACGUGGGAACGUGCCUUUAGGUUCGGAAUAACUCAGGGAAACUUGUGCUAAUACCGAAUGUGCCCUUCGGGGGAAAGAUUUAUCGCCUUUAGAGCGGCCCGCGUCUGAUUAGCUAGUUGGUGAGGUAAAGGCUCACCAAGGCGACGAUCAGUAGCUGGUCUGAGAGGAUGAUCAGCCACAGUGGGACUGAGACACGGCCCAAACUCCUACGGGAGGCAGCAGUGGGGAAUCUUGCGCAAUGGGCGAAAGCCUGACGCAGCCAUGCCGCGUGAAUGAUGAAGGUCUUAGGAUUGUAAAAUUCUUUCACCGGGGACGAUAAUGACGGUACCCGGAGAAGAAGCCCCGGCUAACUUCGUG
This 433-nucleotide ribosomal RNA is filed under the name uncultured bacterium. RNAcentral describes it as "partial 16S ribosomal RNA". It matches the Rfam family "Bacterial small subunit ribosomal RNA", at positions 29 to 507 of the family's 1533-position model. The record is from RNAcentral.